UAUUCUGCCCUAAGGGGAAGGAUGAGAAGCUUCGACUAAGGUUCGACUCGAGCGUCAGCGAGAGAACGUUGCCGCAGGCAACGGCCCGAAGGGCGAGGCGCUUUAGCGCCGAGUAAUCCUUCCCCCACCACCA
This 133-nucleotide small RNA is filed under the name Klebsiella aerogenes. RNAcentral's name for it is "RtT sRNA". It matches the Rfam family "RtT RNA". From Rfam's summary of the family: This family represents a bacterial cis-regulatory element known as RtT RNA. The exact function of RtT is unknown although it is thought that it may be involved in changing the cellular response in relation to amino acid starvation. The record is from RNAcentral. Lineage: Bacteria; Pseudomonadati; Pseudomonadota; Gammaproteobacteria; Enterobacterales; Enterobacteriaceae.